AGGCACAGUAACAUGUGCCUGUAGUCCCAGAUACUCAGGAGAAUAAGGCAGGAGGAUUGCUUGAGCCCAGGAGUUCAAGGACAGCCUGGGAAACAUAGUAAGAACCUU
Molecule: small RNA, 108 nt
Filed under: Marmota monax (woodchuck)
Lineage: Eukaryota; Metazoa; Chordata; Mammalia; Rodentia; Sciuridae
Source: RNAcentral